Molecule: ribosomal RNA, 433 nt
Filed under: uncultured Candidatus Nemicrothrix sp.
Lineage: Bacteria; Bacillati; Actinomycetota; Acidimicrobiia; Acidimicrobiales; Microthrixaceae
Description: bacterial SSU rRNA
Rfam family: Bacterial small subunit ribosomal RNA
Source: RNAcentral
GACGAACGCUGGCGGCGGGCCUAACACAUGCAAGUCGAACGAACUCGACCUUCGGGUCAUAUAGUGAGUGGCGAACGGGUGAGUAACACGUGAGAAACCUGCCCCGAAGACUGGAACAACCCGAGGAAACUCGGGCUAAUACCGGAUAUCCCCAUCGGAUCGCAUGGUCUGAUGAGGAAAUGCUCCGGCGCUUCGGGAGGGUCUCGCGGCCUAUCAGCUAGUUGGUGAGGUAACGGCUCACCAAGGCAACGACGGGUAGCUGGUCUGAGAGGACGAUCAGCCACACUGGGACUGAGACACGGCCCAGACUCCUACGGGAGGCAGCAGUGGGGAAUAUUGCGCAAUGGGCGAAAGCCUGACGCAGCCACGCCGCGUGCGGGAUGAAGGCUCUAGGGUUGUAAACCGCUUUAGGCAGGGAAGAAAAUGACGGUAC